Molecule: ribosomal RNA, 497 nt
Filed under: uncultured bacterium
Lineage: Bacteria
Description: partial 16S ribosomal RNA
Rfam family: Bacterial small subunit ribosomal RNA
Source: RNAcentral
GAUGAACGCUGGCGGCGUGCCUAAUACAUGCAAGUCGAGCGAACGGACGAGAAGCUUGCUUCUCUGAUGUUAACGGCGGACGGGAGAGUAACACGUGGAUAACCUACCUAUAAGACUGGGAUAACUUCGGGAAACCGGAGCUAAUACCGGAUAAUAUUUUGAACCGCAUGGUUCAAAAGUGAAAGACGGUCUUGCUGUCACCUAUAGAUGGAUCCGCGCUGCAUUAGCUAGUUGGUAAGGUAACGGCUUACCAAGGCAACGAUGCAUAGCCGACCUGAGAGGGUGAUCGGCCACACUGGGACCGAGACACGGUCCAGACUCCUACGGGAGGCAGCAGUAGGGAAUCUACCGCAAUGGGCGAAAGCCUGACGGAGCAACGCCGCGUGAGUGAUGAAGGUCUUCGGAUCGUAAGACUCUGUUAUUAGGGAAGAACAUAUGUGUAAGUAACUGUGCACAUCUUGACGGUACCUAAUCAGAAAGCCACGGCUAACUACGUG